RNAcentral lists this non-coding RNA (187 nucleotides) under Clostridium uliginosum. RNAcentral describes it as "6S / SsrS RNA". It matches the Rfam family "6S / SsrS RNA". Rfam says of the family: E. coli 6S RNA was the first non coding RNA to be sequenced, but its function was unknown until recently. It consists of 184 nucleotides that fold into an extended hairpin structure with a large single-stranded internal bulge. The 6S RNA specifically associates with RNA polymerase holoenzyme containing the sigma70 specificity factor. The record is from Rfam by way of RNAcentral. Lineage: Bacteria; Bacillati; Bacillota; Clostridia; Eubacteriales; Clostridiaceae.
GAUUUCCUAAGAUGUUCGCCAAGCUUAUGAUUUCAACCUACAUUAUAUAUUCGGGAUUUGUGAUAUACUUAUGGCUGUCGGGCUUCAUUUAGUCAUUUAAAUGCAGAAGAUGACAAAAGUAAGUUGAACUUAACCCACCUGCGAGACGCAGGUGUGAAUAAUAAGCAAACGGCAUGUUGGGAUCUAU